UCGUGCUCGUGCUCGUGCUCAGGCCUAAUACAUGCAAGUCGAACGGUAGCACAGAGGAGCUUGCUCCUUGGGUGACGAGUGGCGGACGGGUGAGUAAUGUCUGGGAAACUGCCCGAUGGAGGGGGAUAACUACUGGAAACGGUAGCUAAUACCGCAUAACGUCGCAAGACAAAGAGGGGGACCUUCGGGCCUCUUGCCAUCGGAUGUGCCCAGAUGGGAUUAGCUAGUAGGUGGGGUAACGGCUCACCUAGGCGACGAUCCCUAGCUGGUCUGAGAGGAUGACCAGCCACACUGGAACUGAGACACGGUCCAGACUCCUACGGGAGGCAGCAGUGGGGAAUAUUGCACAAUGGGCGCAAGCUGAUGCAGCCAUGCCGCGUGUAUGAAGAAGGCCUUCGGGUUGUAAAGUACUUUCAGCGAGGAGGAGGGGGAUGUGGUUAAUAACCGCAUUCAUUGACGUUACUCGCAGAAGAAGCACCGGCUAACUACGUGCCAGCAGCCGCGGUAAUACGUAGGUGGCAAGCGUUAUCCGGAUUUAUUGGGCGUAAAGCGAGCGCAGGCGGUUUUUUAAGUCUGAUGUGAAAGCCCUUGGCUCAACCAAGGAAGUGCAUCGGAAACUGGAGAACUUGAGUGCAGAAGAGGACAGUGGAACUCCAUGUGUAGCGGUGAAAUGCGUAGAUAUAUGGAAGAACACCAGUGGCGAAGGCGGCUGUCUGGUCUGUAACUGACGCUGAGGCUCGAAAGCAUGGGUAGCGAACAGGAUUAGAUACCCUGGUAGUCCAUGCCGUAAACGAUGAAUGCUAGGUGUUGGAGGGUUUCCGCCCUUCAGUGCCGCAGCUAACGCAUUAAGCAUUCCGCCUGGGGGAGUACGACCGCAAGGUUGAAACUCAAAGGAAUUGACGGGGGCCCGCACAAGCGGUGGAGCAUGUGGUUUAAUUCGAAGCAACGCGAAGAACCUUACCAGGUCUUGACAUCUAGCGCCAAUCCUAGAGAUAGGACGUUCCCUUCGGGGACGCUAAGACAGGUGGUGCAUGGUUGUCGUCA
RNAcentral lists this ribosomal RNA (1044 nucleotides) under uncultured bacterium. RNAcentral describes it as "bacterial SSU rRNA". It matches the Rfam family "Bacterial small subunit ribosomal RNA", at positions 24 to 1057 of the family's 1533-position model. The record is from RNAcentral.